AUUGAACGCUGGCGGAAUGCUUUACACAUGCAAGUCGAGCGGCAGCGCGGGGCAACCUGGCGGCGAGCGGCGAACGGGUGAGUAAUACAUCGGAACGUGCCCAGACGUGGGGGAUAACUACUCGAAAGAGUGGCUAAUACCGCAUACGAUCUAAGGAUGAAAGCGGGGAUCGCAAGACCUCGCGCGUUUGGAGCGGCCGAUGGCAGAUUAGGUAGUUGGUGGGGUAAAGGCUUACCAAGCCCGCGAUCUGUAGCUGGUCUGAGAGGAUGAUCAGCCACACUGGGACUGAGACACGGCCCAGACUCCUACGGGAGGCAGCAGUGGGGAAUUUUGGACAAUGGGCGAAAGCCUGAUCCAGCCAUUCCGCGUGCAGGAUGAAGGCCCUCGGGUUGUAAACUGCUUUUGUACAGAACGAAAAAGACUCUUUCUAAUACAGAGAGUCCAUGACGGUACUGUAAGAAUAAGACACCGGCUAACUACGUGCCAGCAGCCGCGUAA
Molecule: ribosomal RNA, 498 nt
Filed under: uncultured bacterium
Lineage: Bacteria
Description: bacterial SSU rRNA
Rfam family: Bacterial small subunit ribosomal RNA
Source: RNAcentral